CAUAUUGAUCACAAAAUGAUCCCAUAGUUAUUUUGAAUUUAAAUUUAUCAUUACGUUACUUAUCUUUAUGUUCUUGACAUAUAGCUAAUCCUUCUUUCUUUAUAAAUGCAAAUAGUUGACCGUAAGUGAUUGUAUUCCAAGGGAUUGGUUGUCCUCCUGAAUAUUCUUUUAAUUUACUAAUUAUUCUUUCUGCAAUGAAAGAUGGUAAUCCUGAGAUAAACCGUUCUUUCCAGAAUGCUUGAUUACAAUCGUUUCUUUGGA
This 261-nucleotide long non-coding RNA is filed under the name Brassica napus (rape). RNAcentral describes it as "long non-coding RNA (BNAP_LNC020332)". Lineage: Eukaryota; Viridiplantae; Streptophyta; Magnoliopsida; Brassicales; Brassicaceae. The record is from RNAcentral.